Molecule: ribosomal RNA, 110 nt
Filed under: uncultured eukaryote
Lineage: Eukaryota
Description: partial small subunit ribosomal RNA
Rfam family: Eukaryotic small subunit ribosomal RNA
Source: RNAcentral
UCGCACCCACCGAUUGAAUGGUCCGGUGAAGCCUCGGGAUUGUGACCAGUUUGCUUUGUUGUGAGUUGGUCGCGAGAACUUGUCUGAACCUUGUCAUUUAGAGGAAGGUG